GACGAACGCUGGCGGCGUGCCUAACACAUGCUUUUCGAACGGAGUUAACCGCUGAUUUGAUACUAGCUUGCUAGAGGAUUUUCUUGGUUAACUUAGUGGCGGACGGGUGAGUAACGCGUGAGCAACCUGCCUUUCAGAGGGGGACAACAGUUGGAAACGACUGCUAAUACCGCAUAACGUAUAACCGAGGCAUCUCGGAUGUACCAAAGAUUUAUCGCUGAAAGAUGGGCUCGCGUCCGAUUAGGUAGUUGGUGGGGUAAAGGCCUACCAAGCCGACGAUCGGUAGCCGGACUGAGAGGUUGAACGGCCACAUUGGGACUGAGACACGGCCCAGACUCCUACGGGAGGCAGCAGUGGGGGAUAUUGCACAAUGGGGGAAACCCUGAUGCAGCAACGCCGCGUGAGGGAAGAAGGUUUUCGGAUUGUAAACCUCUGUUUUUAGUGAAGAAACAAAUGACGGUAGCUAAAGAGGAAGCCACGGCUAACUACGUGCCAGCAGCCGCGGUAAUACGUAGGUGGCAAGCGUUGUCCGGAAUGAUUGGGCGUAAAGGGCGCGUAGGCGGCUCGUUAAGUCUGGAGUGAAAGUCCUGCUUUCCAGGUGGGAAUUGCUUUGGAUACUGGCGAGCUUGAGUGCAGGAGAGGUAAGUGGAAUUCCCAGUGUAGCGGUGAAAUGCGUAGAGAUUGGGAGGAACACCAGUGGCGAAGGCGACUUACUGGACUGUAACUGACGCUGAGGCGCGAAAGUGUGGGGAGCAAACAGGAUUAGAUACCCUGGUAGUCCACACUGUAAACGAUGAAUGCUAGGUGUAGGGGGUAUCGACCCCUUCUGUGCCGCAGUUAACACAAUAAGCAUUCCGCCUGAGGAGUACGGCCGCAAGGUUGAAACUCAAAGGAAUUGACGGGGGCCCGCACAAGCAGCGGAGCAUGUGGUUUAAUUCGACGCAACGCGAAGAACCUUACCAGGUCUUGACAUCCAAUAAAUCCUGUAGAGAUACAGAGUGCCUUCGGGCAUAUUGAGACAGGUGGUGCAUGGUUGUCGUCAGCUCGUGUCGUGAGAUGUUGGGUUAAGUCCCGCAACGAGCGCAACCCUUACUUUUAGUUACUAACGCGUAAUGGUGAGGACUCUAGAAGGACUGCCGGGGACAACUCGGAGGAAGGUGGGGACGACGUCAAAUCAUCAUGCCCCUUAUGACCUGGGCUACACACGUGCUACAAUGGCCACCACAGAGAGAAGCGAGCCUGCGAGGGGGAGCGGAACUCAAAAAAGUGGUCCCAGUUCGGAUUGUGGGCUGCAACCCGCCCACAUGAAGUCGGAGUUGCUAGUAAUCGCGGAUCAGCAUGCCGCGGUGAAUACGU
Molecule: ribosomal RNA, 1356 nt
Filed under: uncultured bacterium
Lineage: Bacteria
Description: partial 16S ribosomal RNA
Rfam family: Bacterial small subunit ribosomal RNA
Source: RNAcentral